AUGAAGCAGUUAUUCGUGCUGCCCAAGAGGAUUGAUGAUUUAAAACGGGGAGCUGCCAGAGCCGACGCCUUGACUACCGUAAGCCGGGCAAAGGCAUGGCAAGCCGAUCUUGACCCAGAGAAUUUGGCCAAUGGCUGCCCCAGUGUUAAAGAAGACGGAUCUGCCUUCAGUGCUGAUUAUUUUGCAGAAAUAGCAAGAGCCAUGCGUCCUUUAGCAAGCAAGCCGGCUGACGAAACCAGACUAUCCUCAUAUCAGGCGGCUUAUGAUGCUGAAAACAACACAGUGAGCGCGCCGGUUCACGAGCCAACAGAUCUGAUCCGCCGAUUCAUAAGCACACCUUUGCUCCUGACACUGAUCCAUCAAAUCUUAUUGAUGAUGAAGCUGUGUUUAGAGCAUUGA
RNAcentral lists this ribosomal RNA (399 nucleotides) under Triticum aestivum (bread wheat). Its description in RNAcentral is "partial small subunit ribosomal RNA". Lineage: Eukaryota; Viridiplantae; Streptophyta; Magnoliopsida; Poales; Poaceae. The record is from RNAcentral.